This 510-nucleotide ribosomal RNA is filed under the name uncultured bacterium. RNAcentral describes it as "partial 16S ribosomal RNA". It matches the Rfam family "Bacterial small subunit ribosomal RNA", at positions 28 to 507 of the family's 1533-position model. The record is from RNAcentral.
GACGAACGCUGGCGGCGUGCUUAACACAUGCAAGUCGAACGAAGAGCGAUGGCAGCUUGCUUCUAUCCAUCUUAGUGGCGAACGGGUGAGUAACGCGUAAUCAACCUGCCCUUCUGGGGGGGACUACAGUUGGAAAGGACUGCUAAUACCGCAUACGAUCUCAUCUCGGCAUCGAGGAUAAAUGAACGGUGGCCUCUACAUGUCAGCUAUCACUGCAGGAGGGGAUUGCGUCUGAUUAGCUAGUUGGCGGGGUAACGGCCCAGCAAGGCGAUGAUCAGUAGCCGGUCUGAGAGGAUGAACGGCCACAUUGGGACUGAGACACGGCCCAGACUCCUACGGGAGGCAGCAGUGGGGAAUCUUCCGCAAUGGACGAAAGUCUGACGGAGCAACGCCGCGUGAGUGAUGACGGCCUUCGGGUUGUAAAGCUCUGUUAAUCGGGACGAAAGGCCUUCUUGCGAAUAGUGAGAAGGAUUGACGGUACCGGAAUAGAAAGCCACGGCUAACUACGUG